This 467-nucleotide ribosomal RNA is filed under the name uncultured bacterium. RNAcentral's name for it is "partial 16S ribosomal RNA". It matches the Rfam family "Bacterial small subunit ribosomal RNA", at positions 29 to 507 of the family's 1533-position model. The record is from RNAcentral.
ACGAACGCUGGCGGCGUGCUUAACACAUGCAAGUCGCACGGAAAGGCCCUGCUUUUGUGGGGUGCUCGCGUGGCGAACGGGUGAGUAACACGUGAGUAACCUGCCCUUGACUUUGGGAUAACUUCAGGAAACUGGGGCUAAUACCGGAUAGGAGCUCCUGCUGCAUGGUGGGGGUUGGAAAGUUUCGGCGGUUGGGGAUGGACUCGCGGCUUAUCAGCUUGUUGGUGGGGUAGUGGCUUACCAAGGCUUUGACGGGUAGCCGGCCUGAGAGGGUGACCGGCCACAUUGGGACUGAGAUACGGCCCAGACUCCUACGGGAGGCAGCAGUGGGGAAUAUUGCACAAUGGGCGGAAGCCUGACGCAGCAACGCCGCGUGCGGGAUGACGGCCUUCGGGUUGUAAACCGCUUUCGCCUGUGACGAAGCGUGAGUGACGGUAAUGGGUAAAGAAGCACCGGCUAACUACGUG